Long non-coding RNA from Oncorhynchus keta (chum salmon), 2060 nucleotides. RefSeq lists it as uncharacterized. Lineage: Eukaryota; Metazoa; Chordata; Actinopteri; Salmoniformes; Salmonidae. The transcript has 2 exons. The record is from RefSeq and is a predicted model, not a curated record.
CUGUCCUGGGAUGUUACAUUGAUAACAGAGGUCUUCUGGUCUCUGGUCUACCAGCAUCGGUCUCUGAUGGUAGAGAUGUCUGGGUCGGCCUGUCCUGGGACUUUACAUUGAUAACAGAGGUCUUCUGGUCUCUGGUCUACCAGCAUCGGUCUCUGAUGGUAGAGAUGUCUGGGUCGGCCUGUCCUGGGAUGUUACAUUGAUAACAGAGGUCUUCUGGUCUCUGGUCUACCAGCAUCGGUCUCUGAUGGUAGAGAUGUCUGGGUCUGCCUGUCCUGGGACUUUACAUUGAUAACAGAGGUCUUCUGGUCUCUGGUCUACCAGCAUCGGUCUCUGAUGGUAGAGAUGUCUGGGUCGGCCUGUCCUGGGAUGUUACAUUGAUAACAGAGGUCUUCUGGUCUCUGGUCUACCAGCAUCGGUCUCUGAUGGUAGAGAUGUCUGGGUCGGCCUGUCCUGGGACUUCACAUUGAUAACAGAGGUCUUCUGGUCUCUGGUCUACCAGCAUCGGUCUCUGAUGGUAGAGAUGUCUGGGUCGGCCUGUCCUGGGACUUUACAUUGAUAACAGAGGUCUUCUGGUCUCUGGUCUACCAGCAUCGGUCUCUGAUGGUAGAGAUGUCUGGGUCGGCCUGUCCUGGGACUUUACAUUGAUAACAGAGGUCUUCUGGUCUCUGGUCUACCAGCAUCGGUCUCUGAUGGUAGAGAUGUCUGGGUCUGCCUGUCCUGGGACUUCACAUUGAUAACAGAGGUCUUCUGGUCUCUGGUCUACCAGCAUCGGUCUCUGAUGGUAGCUGCUUUUCCAAAAUGUCUGUUGAGUGGACGACUGUUGGUGAGAGAAGGGAAGUGGAGUAGCUUGAUUUAACACUUGUGUUGGUUAGAAGGUUAAAACAAGUUGCUGUUCUGACGUUAGAUGCUUGUUGUUAUCGAUGCCCUCCCAAUGGCACCCUAUUCCCCAUAUAGAGCACGACUGUUGACCAGGGCCCUAUUCCCCAUAUAGAGCACGACUGUUGACCAGGGCCCUAUUCCCCAUAUAGAGCACGACUGUUGACCAGGGCCCUAUAGCACCCUAUUCCCCAUAUAGAGCACGACUGUUGACCAGGGCCCUAUAGCACCCUAUUCCCCAUAUAGAGCACGACUGUUGACCAGGGCCCUAUAGCACCCUAUUCCCCAUAUAGAGCACGACUGUUGACCAGGGCCCUAUAGCACCCUAUUCCCCAUAUAGUCCACUACAUUUGAUCAGGGCCCUAUAGCACCCUAUUCCCUAUAUAGUCCACUACAUUUGACCAGGGCCCUAUAGCACCCUAUUCCCUAUAUAGUACACUACAUUUGACCAGGGCCCUAAAGCACCCUAUUCCCCAUAUAGUCCACUACAUUUGACCAGGGCCCUAUAGCACCCUAUUCCCUAUAUAGCCCACUACAUUUGACCAGGGCCCUAUAGCACCCUAUUCCCUAUAUAGCCCACUACAUUUGACCAGGGCCCUAAAGGAGUGCAGGAUAUAGGGAAUAGGGAGCCAUUUUGGGGCCCUAUAACAUGUUUCUGGAGCUCUGACAUAAAGACGAGGAACACAGCAGAGGUUUAUAGACAGUUUGAACAUUUUAUCAUUCAUCCAUGGGGCGGCAGCGUAGCCUAGUGGUUAGAGCGUUGGACUAGUAACCGGAAGGUUGCGAGUUCAAACCCCCGAGCUGACAAGGUACAAAUCUGUCGUUCUGCCCCUGAACAGGCAGUUGACCCACUGUUCCCAGGCCGUCAUUGAAAAUAAGAAUAUGUUCUUAACUGACUUGCCUGGUUAAAUAAAGGUAAAAUGUAAUUAAAUCCAUGUUGAUACCCAUGGUGCUUUGCAAGAAUGUAUACAGCUCAACCAACAUUUGGUUAGUCAGAAUGAUUAUUUUAAUUUCCACUCUACUUCUUCUCCGUUGAUUUGCUUUCCAUUAAACCAGGGUGUAAUGGAUGUGUACAGCCCAUUCAAUACUACAAGAAGCUGUUGGAACUAAAUUAAAUGUGGAUUUUUUUGUUGUUUUGUUUUGUUUUGUUUUUUUAAAUAAAAUGAAUGAACUUUCAUCUUGAA